GGGACGUAAACAAAUGGAAAUGGCGGCGACGACGCUCGGCGGACAAAAGAUGAACAAUGUGACUCGGCGGCGAAGAUGUCAGCACGCAAAAGACGAUUCAAUGUCCGCUUCCCACCGGCUCGCAUCAAAAAGAUCAUGCAGAAGAACACAGAGGUGGGAAGGAUUGCCAUGGCGGUGCCUGUGAUCAUCUGUAUCCUUUACGUUAGCGUCCUUUGCCUGCGAUUUAACACUUUCGGCAUGAAUUACAAUGGAACCCAAGACGUCUAGAAAUCCUCCGUUUUUGCGUUUUCUUUCUAUACUUAGAUGACAGCUAAUAAUAUGAAUAUGUGACACGAAACAAGCUUUUAUGAUGGCGUUGUGGGCUAAAAACGGGGGUCACCGCUUUCUAAAUCAGAAGGGCCAGCACACAUCCGUCCGUGUUGUCCAAAAAUGACUCCAGCCCCGGUCAUAUUUCCCGUCCAAAUAUUGUGGAACAUAAAACGACGCUAUUACUGUUAUUUGGCCAGAUCUUUGUACCUUUAGAUUAUUUGAUCACUUUGUGACCUUUAACGUUUCAGAAAAGAAAUAAAAGCCAUCUUUUUCGCUCCGUCAGCUGAAAAUCGGAUCGGGACAUCCCCAACUACUACUAUUGAUUAUAUUUAGCGUAAGCAAAAUGGAGGGAAAACAAAGAAAUGGCCACUGUUUUAUCCUCGGCUAGCAUAUUUCCAUUUCCUAUGGGGACGAAUAGCGGAUUGCGUUUGACCUCAGGGCUUGCCAGUGUAUGAAUUAUUAAUGAGCAGAAGAACACGUUUGAGGCGCCGACGUCCUGAGCCGAAGGCCAGCUCGAGUUCUCGGGAUGUUCCUCAAGUCUCUGCUCACCGAAACCCGCUCGAUCGGAGAGGCCGACCUCGGCGGCAUCUUGUCGCCGGGGUUAGGUAACCGUGGCAACUGCGGUCAGCGCCAAUCCACGUGUGUGUUUGUAGAAAGCGGCGCAUCGAGUCGCAGAAGCUCUUCCGCUUCCUUAAGGAUGCGGCGGCGAGAUUCACGUUGCCGAGCGAACGGGACAACAGAGGUCUGAAUGUGUGGCCAGAAUACACGUGAGGGGAUUGACGAACACCGUUUCCACUCUUAUUCCUAAACUCGUCAACCGAGGUGGAACUGAUGUGAUUUGCAGGACCGAAGCACCUGAAAAAAGAGCGAAAGUGGAAGAGGCGACGCCGCGGAGAAGCCCGGACUCGCUUAGCGAUGCCUCCAGCUCGAGCGUAAAUAAUUCACGCUCAAAUUCGUUCCUCCCGACUCUCAUAUUGUAUUACGCAUUAUCAUCGGGAUGUCGGCUUUCGUGGCGUUUAUGUCCGAGUUUUUGGUUUCACGGCGAGUCAAACUUUGCCGCCGUGCUGCACCCACACGCAAAAACGCAAAUGUUUUAGAAUGUAGCCUCGUGCACAUGCUUCACAUUUCAAAGCCCCUGUGACAAUUUCCAAUUUCUACAAGUUUGUCUUUUUGGGCACCUUUUUGCGGGUCGACUCGUUAUACCGAAUUUCAUGUUGCUAACAAGUGAAACCGGGCUGAAUUUUUGGGGUUACAUUUUAGAGGCUUGAAACCAAAAUGUCAGAUUGCCUCUCGAGACUUUUUUUUAUAUAUUUUUUUGUAUUGAAGAAAGACACGCCUACCAAAUUUCACGUGCUAAGUGAAGCUGGCCUUGGGGACGGACAUUUGAAAACGGCAGCCCUCCUGUGUCUUUUCGGGCACGGCUUCUUGACCUUUUCGGCGGCCAAAUUUCCUGUUGCAAAGCGAAACCGGCUGCGGGGGCCUGAAUUUUUAAAGCAUUCAAACGAGCCUUGAAAAUAAUCGAACGGACCGUGCGACGGCAGACGGCGGCGCCUCAAGACGUUCCGGUGGGACUUCUGAUGAUAGACGCCGCCUUCGGAGUUUCAGCUUGCCCAGUCGAACUGGCUUCAGGGGCUGAAUGCCCGGAGAAUCGCAGACGCUGAGAGCAGGUGUUCUUUCAAGGCGCAGCAGUGCCACCGUAAAUAUGACCUCUCCUCUCUUUUGCAGGAGUCUGAGCUCUUCACCCGCUUCCUUUUAGACAACAAAUUGAAGAUUCAGUCGUAUAUUAGGAGUGCAAAAAGUACCGUUUGAUGUCCUCUGUUGUUUUGGGGGUGAAGAAAUAGCAACUUUUUAGUUAUGUGGAUGUUUUUUCGUUUGUUUUGGACAUUUGAGGGUGUCGAUUUGCACCAAUCAUUUUCUUGUUUUGGCUUUAUGAAUUACAUUGUGUUUUGAGUUGUCUUUUCAGCCGUUUACUCAUUGGAGGUUUGCAUUUUUGGAGCGUUUAAUUUUUAAAACCUUUUUGUGUGCGGGAACGUGGAGGUGAGUUCAGAUGGCAAUAAAUAAAUACAAGCGCAAA
This is a long non-coding RNA of Phycodurus eques (leafy seadragon), 2383 nucleotides long. RefSeq lists it as uncharacterized. NCBI's taxonomy places the organism in Eukaryota, Metazoa, Chordata, Actinopteri, Syngnathiformes, Syngnathidae. The record is from RefSeq and is a predicted model, not a curated record. The transcript has 2 exons.